Cephus cinctus (wheat stem sawfly) is the source of this 2783-nucleotide RNA transcript. It is a transcript of the gene named ribonuclease P protein subunit p40, with no coding region annotated. The record is from RefSeq and is a predicted model, not a curated record. Lineage: Eukaryota; Metazoa; Arthropoda; Insecta; Hymenoptera; Cephidae. The transcript has 3 exons.
GAGAGCUAAGUCUACUAAGUAUCGGAAAGAAGAUUGAUCUUCACAAUUCCAUAGCAAUCACUCCAACCGGCCAUUUAAUAAUCUCCUUGGUGCAUGAAGACUUUCAAAAACUAGGAUUAGAGGGUACACCAUCCUUCUUUGAUCGUAAGGUGCAAACGCGUCACGGUAAGUCUCAGGAAGAAACUCAUUAAGGAACAAUAAUACAAAGCAGAAUAAAAAAUGCCGAGAAAACACCAAGUACCGACGCUGGAGGAACUCGCUCUAAGAUCUGUGGGUGAAUUUGUUACUACAAUCGGUAGAAACAUGAUCCAUCCGGUAUGCAAACUCUCUCAAGCCAAUCCUCAGCUUGGCCUGAUGACCCUACAGUUUUGGUUGGAAUGGAUAAAGAAUCAAUUGAGCUCAAGUGUACCCUGGCAUUUGCAUGAUCGUAUGGCUGUGGAAGCAUUAAAAGCAAUAUCGAAUCUCAUCAACGAAACAAAAAGCACCUACGAUAACUUUGCGCCUAUGAGAAUCUUCCUCUCGGAGAUGAACGUCGUCGUAAAUCUAACAGAAGUGGCUAUAAACUCGAAAUUAAGAUCAAUAGAGUUCACAGUAUGGCCAAAGAUUAUGCGACACGUCCUCUACAAAAAUCUUCACAAUAUGACAGGUCUAGAGGUUCUGGACCUUGGUUCAGGCUCCGCUGGCUGGAGAACUUCAGACAUUGAGAAAAUCAUCAUCGGAGGAGUAUGCUCUAUGUCUAAUUUGACUUCCUUCACAUUGUGCUUCGAUUGUACGGAUAGUAUUAUCACGGCUGUGGGACAGAACUGUCCAAAGCUACAGAAGCUAGACGUGACUGCCUCAAGAUCAGUUACUGAUCGUAGCAUAGGUGCUAUAUUGAAAUCCUGGCAGCUAAGGGAAGUAAAACUCUUCAGGACAUCCGUCACUAUAGCAGGAUACUCUGAAUUGUUACUAGGGCAUUCACGACUCGAGGACAUCGGCAGGUGCGAUGAGUUUGGUUAUAUCAUGGAGCACAUCAGAGCGAACGGGACCUUUGAGAAACCAUUUCAUCUGACGUCCUUUGAAAGUCGUGAUGUCACAUCCGAGCAUCUGUAUUUACUGAUAGAGAUGUGCCCUCGCAUAACGAAACUCUCUUUGCUCCACGACGAAAGGAUCAGUGAUCUGCUGAUCCUUGGUGCCCUGGACAAUCUCACUGAACUGAAAUUACUGUCGUGUGAUUUCUUUGCCGAUCGAGUCAAGACAUUACUAGAACUAAAGGGCGGUAAUAUUACCAGUCUUCACUUGGAGCAUGUAGACGAGAUAGAUCUGGACGCCCUCAUGUACAUCAGUCAAUAUUGUCCUAAGAUCAGGAAUCUUGUAUUUUACAAUUGUGAGUUCCUGGAGCACUCAUCGAUAUCACCCAGGAAGCUGACGGUGCCUCCUUUCAAGUAUUUAGAGAGAAUCAAGUGCGUAGUUGACUGCGCCAGUAUGCAUUUGGAAUUUUUACUCUCUCACUGUACCAAUAUUAAGUUCAUACAGUUAGGAUCGUCUACGGGGAUAGGCGACAUGACUAUGGCACGGGUACUAUCAAAGAAUCCAAUGACUAAACUCGAGGAACUCAAGAUAUUGUACAGCGAUGAUCUCUCGAUGAAGACGGUCCAGUUGCUUAUGCAGAACUGUGAGAAUUUACGAAGGAUCUCGGAAUUAGAAAGCUGGCAAGGCAUAUCAGUCAUUGAGAUUGACAUCUUCCGCAAGGCACUCAAAGAUAACAACGUCGACCUGGACACGAGUCCUACCUUGUCCUUAGCUUAAUUCAGAGUAUUCCUCAGGAUUAGUGACAGAGGUCGGUUGUGGCUUCCAAAGCUCAGGAUAAUAUAAUGACAGCAAAAGAGAGAGAAAUGAGACAUUCUCAAAAAAAAAACAGUUUUUUUCUUUUUUCUCAUUUCUUCUUUUAAAGAAAACGUAGCUUAAGUUAAUCCAGUUUUGUCGUUUACCUUAUUGUCUUUGAUUAUUACUUGUUUUCAUAAUUAAUAUGAAAUUUGCAAAAAAAUGACAUGAUCGUCGAGAGACGAAUUUUCUGUUAUCAUAAGCGACGAUGAUUAUUGACUGAGAAAAAUGAUACAAGGGAUUUUACACUGUAGUAUCGUACAGUCGUUAUUACGUAUUAUGCAAUAGUGCCGACGCGAAGGUGAUUUCGAUGAAUUUUACAUUAGCUAAGACAUGUAAUACGUAUUUUGUACUUUGAUCAGCAAUAUAUUGCGAUCGGCUAUAUUGGAACAUUAUGAUAACGUAAAAAAAAUCUAUAAGUAUCAAACCCAAAAAAAGGAAGCAUAAUCUUUCUGUCUAAAUUUAGGCAAUACGUAUUGCUAUGUAAACGAGGGAUGAUAAGUGCUAGAAUGUUUUUUUUUUUCACUUAACAGAUACCUACUGUUAAUUUAUAAAUGAACUUCGAUCCUGUGACAAGUGUACUAGUCGAACUGAAAUUGUGAUUAGCCAAUCGUCACAAUCGAUUUGAAAGAGGAGAAUUUUACGCCCGGUAAGAAGAAUUAUGAGCGUGUACGAGAAUCACUGGAGAAAAGAUUACCUGAAAAAUUUGUGGCAAUAGUAGCUUGGGAUCCUCCAGAUGAGAAGCUGUGUCCAUCUUCUAUUGGAGCUUGGUUUCAUUCACGUGGAUAUUCCGUAUCAUUGUGCCAGCAGAAAUUUAUAAGACGCAGUGAAUAUUCCAUAAAGGUACCCAUCAUCGAAGAACAUGCAAACUAUGACAAGUUAUUCGAGUGGCUUGGAGUGUUCAGCAUAGGUGGUGAUCU